CGGCUUCGUACGUUUGGAACAAUAGCCGCUUUCCACAAGCAGCUGCAGUUGGGGAGGCAACACGCACGUGCAAUUGAAUGCGCGCGGCCCACACAACCGCAGGAAGAAAGCGAAAACAGUGUAAAACACUUUCUUUGAUACUCGAAAAUACAUACCGUGACCUGCCAGGUCAGAAAUGUGUUCACUUGUUUGUUUGUUUUUUUGUGUUUUUGUGGGAAGGGGGCUUGGGUUUCUUCCUGAAAAGCUAGCGACUAUUUCAACCUGCACGUUUAAACUGCAUAAGCAUAGCAGUUGGAGAAAUAACAAAAACAAACGUUUAGGAAAUAAAUUUCACCGUCCUAAAUGAGAUUUUUUUAACCACUUUGCUCUGGAAUGCAGAUACCUUUUUCAUGUCUCUGAAAACUGAACAUUCCUUUAAAAGUAUUUUAUUUCCGAAAGCCCCUUGUAAUAGCCUAGCCUAGCCUACGGUGUAUUUCAAUUACAUUGGAUUAUCUGCCACCUUUACCCGGUGGUCCUUUGCACUGUCAGUCUGUACUCGGUAAUGAUGUUACCAAUAAAGUAAUUCACCCUGCCUGGAAAGAGGACGCCGCAGCAGCGCAAACGAUAAAAGCAGCCGCACACGGCGCCUGGCUCAACGACUUUAGUGCCUACCCAACAGCAGAAAGAAGAAACGUCCCGUAAAUGGAGAAAUGCGUUUCAGGACUACAAGUCCAAUGCUAAAACGGCAUCUUCAGUGCGAGACGGUUAUGUACAGGCAGGGACUCAGGUGAGGGAGGACAAACUAAACCAAGAGAGACAAAAAAAGAGAGACAUCAAAAUGCCACCACCUUCCCAAGGUUUUGUCUACAGGUGGAGAGUGUUUGUUUGACAAUUUACAAACAUGUACAUCCAAGGUAACUGGCAAUUGCAUUAAAAAGGACUGAGGAUAACACAAUAAAGUAAAAGACUUUUUCCAUUUCCAUUGAGGUACUUUUACUGGAAA
Anguilla rostrata (American eel) is the source of this 982-nucleotide long non-coding RNA. RefSeq lists it as uncharacterized. The transcript has 3 exons. The record is from RefSeq and is a predicted model, not a curated record. NCBI's taxonomy places the organism in Eukaryota, Metazoa, Chordata, Actinopteri, Anguilliformes, Anguillidae.